GCCGGGCGCGGUGGCGCGCGCCUGUAAUCCCAGCUACUCGGGAGGCUGAGGCUGGAGGAUCGCUUGAGCCCAGGAGUUCUGGGCUGCAGUGCGCUAUGCCGAUCGGGUGUCCGCACUAAGUUCGGCAUCAAUAUGGUGACCUCCCGGGAGUGGGGGACCACCAGGUUGCCUAAGGAGGGGUGAACCGGCCCAGGUCGGAAACGGAGCAGGUCAAAACUCCCGUGCUGAUCAGUAGUGGGAUCGCGCCUGUGAAUAGCCACUGUACUCCAGCCUGGGCAACAUAGCGAGACCCUGUCUCUU
The sequence is an unclassified non-coding RNA, 300 nucleotides long. It matches the Rfam family "Metazoan signal recognition particle RNA". Rfam says of the family: The signal recognition particle (SRP) is a universally conserved ribonucleoprotein. It is involved in the co-translational targeting of proteins to membranes. The record is from Ensembl.